AGUCAGCAUUAAGGCAGCCACUGCUGGUUUCAAUCUUGUUCACAAGAAUGGCAUCUCUUUUCUCCAGGAGGAAAAAUGGCAGCAGCAGCAGUGGAUCCACACCAGAUUGUUGCCAAUGCCAGAGGUGCCAUAACUGGGGCGAAGGAUGGGGUGACGACUACCAUGGCUGGAGCCAAGGAUUCUGUAGCCAGCACAGUCUCAGGGGUGGUGGAUAAGACCAAAGAAGCAGUUACUGGCAGCGUGGAAAGGACCAAGUCUGUGGUUAAUGGCAGCAUCAAUACAGUUUUAGGAAUGGUGCGGCUUGUGAACAGUCGAAUAGAUAAUGCAAUCACCAAGUUGGAGCUGCUGGUAGACCAGUACUUCCCUCUCACUCAGAAGGAGCUGGAGACGGAAACAAAAAAGGCAGAAGGACCUGCUAAGGUUCAGAAGCUGAGAUACUGUGAGCGUCUGGAGUCCCUGGCCGCCAAGCUCUUCUUGAGGGCCUAUCACCAGGCUCUCAGCAGGGUUAAAGAGGUCACACAGGUCAGGAGACCAUUACUCAGCCGCAGAAAAUGAAGGAAUCCUUAGAUGAAGUUAUGGAUUACUUUGUUAACAACACGCCUCUCAACUGGCUGGUAGGUCCCUUUUAUCCUCAGUCUACCGAGGUGGACAAGGCCAGCCUGAAGGUCCAGCAGUCUGAGGUCAAAGCUCAGUAAACCCCUCCUUGUCCCCAGUGCAUGAUGUUGCUGGACAGGUGACCCCUUUUGCUGUAUUGAAGUUAACCUUGUAGAUGGCUUUAGCUUAGAUAAGCAGCUUCUUAGAACCAAAGGCCUCAUUAUGGUCACUCACAGCUCAGUUAUGGUCUUGCCCCAGCUGGCCCUGGCACAGGAGUUCUCUUACAGGUGAGUGGCCUGUGUUAGUCUUGUGAGGACCUCGAGGAACCUAAAAGCUCAGAUGCACUUACAGUCUUGUCUGUGGCCUUUGUAUUGUUAUUGGCUGUAAACAUCUGUCUGGACCGAAUAAAGAUUCAUUCACGU
Mus musculus (house mouse) is the source of this 1016-nucleotide RNA transcript. It is a transcript of the gene named predicted gene 12551, with no coding region annotated. The record is from RefSeq and is marked validated. NCBI's taxonomy places the organism in Eukaryota, Metazoa, Chordata, Mammalia, Rodentia, Muridae. The transcript is spliced from 4 exons.